Molecule: ribosomal RNA, 466 nt
Filed under: uncultured bacterium
Lineage: Bacteria
Description: partial 16S ribosomal RNA
Rfam family: Bacterial small subunit ribosomal RNA
Source: RNAcentral
GAUGAACGCUGGCGGCGUGCUUAACACAUGCAAGUCGAACGGAAAGGCUCCUGCUUGCAGGGGUACUCGAGUGGCGAACGGGUGAGUAACACGUGGGUGAUCUGCCCUGCACUUCGGGAUAAGCCUGGGAAACUGGGUCUAAUACCGGAUAGGACGAUGGUUUGGAUGCCAUUGUGGAAAGGUUUUUCGGUGUGGGAUGGGCUCGCGGCCUAUCAGCUUGUUGGUGGGGUAAUGGCCUACCAAGGCGUCGACGGGUAGCCGGCCUGAGAGGGGGUACGGCCACACUGGGACUGGGAUAAGGCACAGCCCACUACGGGAGGCAGCAGUGGGGAAUAUUGCACAAUGGGCGCAAGCCUGAUGCAGCGACGCCGCGUGGGGGAUGACGGCCUUCGGGUUGUAAACUCCUUUCGCUAGGGACGAAGCGAAAGUGACGGUACCUGGAGAAGAAGCACCGGCUAACUACGUG